AAUGGCCCACUGAUGUUGAAUUGAAGGGCCGCGGUAUUUUGACCGUGCGAAGGUAGCAUAAUCAUUAGUCUUUUAAUUGGAGGCUUGUAUGAAUGGUCGGACAAAAAGUUAACUGUCUCAUUUAUAUAAAUUGAAUUUAACUUUUAAGUGAAAAGGCUUUUUGUACUGAGGGG
Molecule: ribosomal RNA, 173 nt
Filed under: Solenocera crassicornis
Lineage: Eukaryota; Metazoa; Arthropoda; Malacostraca; Decapoda; Solenoceridae
Description: partial 16S ribosomal RNA
Source: RNAcentral